UAUUUGCACCCGAAUUAAGGUUGAGGUGCAUUUUUUUGUACUUCAUUAAAAGGGAAUCAAGUGAAAAACUUGAGCUGUACCCGCAACUGUAAGCUAUAAAGCUUGUUAUUUUCUACAAUACCAUUGUUCGUUUACGAAUGAGAAGGUGAAUAACAAGACGCAAGCCAGGAGACCUGCCUAUUUCGCUAGAGUAAC
RNAcentral lists this non-coding RNA (195 nucleotides) under Flavobacterium haoranii. The record is from RNAcentral. Lineage: Bacteria; Pseudomonadati; Bacteroidota; Flavobacteriia; Flavobacteriales; Flavobacteriaceae.